CGCUGCGCCCCCCGCCGUCCCCGGGAGCCCCGGCACACAAAGGCGGGCGGGGCGGCGGGGGGUGUGCCCGGCCCGCCGCCCCCGGUGCCCGCACCUGCCCUCCGCCGCCGCACCGGGCCGGGGCGCGGUCCCCGCUUUGUCUGCGUCGGGCCGGCACGUGCGAGCGCCGGGACCCGCCGCCCCUCGGAGCCCCCCGGCCCGGCCCGGCGCGAUCCCCCGCCGGGCAGCGAGAACCGGGAACGGGGGGUCCGCGCACGGCGGGGAGGGCCCCCGGGGGCUCCCCGAUGGUGGGCCCGGCCCCGGUCCCUCGCCAUUGUCUGGAGCCGGAGUCGCGGGCAGGGGCGCCCGGGGAUCGGGAGAUGGGGAGGGGAUCGGGGCGCCCCCAGCCCGGUCUCGCUCCCCGACCGGCGCCGCCGGUGCCCCGACAGCGGGCGGUCCCGCUGCCCGGCGGGGCGAGGCCUGCGACCGCGGGGGCACCAAGCAUCCCACGCCGCCCCGCUAUCCCCGGAUCCCCCAAGUUCCGUGGGUGCCACAUCCCUGGGGGGCCUCGGUGCAUCGGCCUGGGAUUGCCCCGGUGGGCUGGGAUUGCUGCAGACUUGGGGUGGGGGGUGGCUCUCUCCGGUGGGACCCCUCGGCUGCCCACCCUGCCUGUCCUGCCUCAGUGCAGGGCACCCGGUUCUGCGGUGCUGGGGCCCGGCUGGAUCCAGGCCCUGCUGCAGGGAGCAUCACCCCCCGCCAGCCCGUGUCCCCCAGCGCCCACCCGCAUCUCCCACUCCACCCUGGUGCCGUGGGGCUGGCUGGGGCCGUCUGGGGCCGUCUUCCCCGAGACCCCUCGUUGCCCCUCAGGGUGCCUGUGCCGUGCGGGGAUGCUGCCGGUACGCCAGGGUGCAGCUCGCUGGGCAGAGCCGGGGCACUGGGCAGUGUGGGUGCUGGGUGCAUGCUGUGCAUGAUGCUCUCGGAGAGGGCAGAGAGGGGGCUACCGUGCACCCACCACACAGCUGGGGCACCCACCUCCCAGCUGGGCUGCACCCACCGCCCAGCCGGGCACACGCCCAUCUUUAGCCGGGUCCCUACUCUCGGGACAGGGCUGUGUAGUGCUGUGUGGGCCUGGGUAUGUCCUGGUCCCCACCAGCCCUGCCGUCUCCGUGGGGCCCCGCGGUCCCGCUGGCAGCCCAAGGGCGCUGUGGGCAAGCUCCGUGCGUGUUGCCGGCCAGGCGGCAGCUGUCAGCUCUGGGUACAUCUCGCUUCCCGGCAUCCGCUGCAAAGGAGCCGUCCCUGCCAAAGCUGCUGAGAGCAGCAAAAUCGGUUCCCGGGAAGGCGAGUGCUGAUGCCGGGUCCCCCCCCCUGCCUCUCCAGCGUUGAGCCCGGCCGGGCAGUGAUCCCUGUUCAUCCCCGUCCUCGGAACUGAGAUUGCCGUCGUCCCCAGCUGCUCCAUCCCAUGGUCACCGGGGUGCCAGCAUCCCCGCUGCAGGGCCCGAUGCCGGGGCGGCUGCAUCCCACCCUGCCAGCCUCCACCCCGCGGCCCUGCGCUCCCCCGAACUGCUGCUGUCCUCCCCCAUUCCUGGGGGAUCAGGGGCUACAUUUGCCACCCUUCCCCGGCACAGGCAUCACAGACGGCACUUUGCAGCUGUUCCAGGCCAGGAAGCUGGCGCCGGCUGGGGCGGCCGAUUAGCGGGAUCGGGAUGUGCGGAUUAAAGUCAAUCUUGUUGGUGCAAUUA
Molecule: long non-coding RNA, 1718 nt
Organism: Pipra filicauda (Wire-tailed manakin)
Lineage: Eukaryota; Metazoa; Chordata; Aves; Passeriformes; Pipridae
Exons: 2
Source: RefSeq, a predicted model, not a curated record